RNAcentral lists this unclassified non-coding RNA (214 nucleotides) under fungal sp. RNAcentral's name for it is "partial internal transcribed spacer region". The stretch from base 1 to 46 matches the Rfam family "Eukaryotic small subunit ribosomal RNA", at positions 1786 to 1831 of the family's 1831-position model. The record is from RNAcentral. Lineage: Eukaryota; Fungi.
AAGUCGUAACAAGGUCUCCGUUGGUGAACCAGCGGAGGGAUCAUUACCGAGUUCCAUCUCGACAACCCUUUGUGAACCAAUACAAUUGUUGCUUCGGCGGCGCGGGACCCCCCGCGCCCGCCGGUAACCUCAGAAUCUCUGUUCGAACCCGACGUUACCUCUGAGUGUUCUAAGCGAACUGUUAAAACUUUCAACAACGGAUCUCUUGGCUCUA